AUGGAGCCGACCUUGAAAUACCACCCUUUAAUGUUUGAUGUUCUAACGUUGACCCGUAAUCCGGGUUGCGGACAGUGUCUGGUGGGUAGUUUGACUGGGGCGGUCUCCUCCUAAAGAGUAACGGAGGAGCACGAAGGUUGGCUAAUCCUGGUCGGACAUCAGGAGGUUAGUGCAAUGGCAUAAGCCAGCUUGACUGCGAGCGUGACGGCGCGAGCAGGUGCGAAAGCAGGUCAUAGUGAUCCGGUGGUUCUGAAUGGAAGGGCCAUCGCUCAACGGAUAAAAGGUACUCCGGGGAUAACAGGCUGAUACCGCCCAAGAGUUCAUAUCGACGGCGGUGUUUGGCACCUCGAUGUCGGCUCAUCACAUCCUGGGGCUGAAGUAGGUCCCAAGGGUAUGGCUGUUCGCCAUUUAAAGUGGUACGCGAGCUGGGUUUAGAACGUCGUGAGACAGUUCGGUCCCUAUCUGCCGUGGGCGCUGGAGAACUGAGGGGGGCUGCUCCUAGUACGAGAGGACCGGAGUGGACGCAUCACUGGUGUUCGGGUUGUCAUGCCAAUGGCACU
RNAcentral lists this ribosomal RNA (560 nucleotides) under Escherichia coli. RNAcentral describes it as "partial 23S ribosomal RNA". It matches the Rfam family "Bacterial large subunit ribosomal RNA", at positions 2180 to 2739 of the family's 2925-position model. The record is from RNAcentral. Lineage: Bacteria; Pseudomonadati; Pseudomonadota; Gammaproteobacteria; Enterobacterales; Enterobacteriaceae.